AAGUUUGUUAGCAGGUGUAUUUCAUUUUGAUCUGCUUGACUGGAUCCAGAUCUUGCUAUAAUGAAGUUAGCGGCGGACGGGUGAGUAACACGUGGGUAACCUGCCCAUAAGACUGGGAUAACUCCGGGAAACCGGGGCUAAUACCGGAUAACAUUUUGAACCGCAUGGUUCGAAAUUGAAAGGCGGCUUCGGCUGUCACUUAUGGAUGGACCCGCGUCGCAUUAGCUAGUUGGUGAGGUAACGGCUCACCAAGGCAACGAUGCGUAGCCGACCUGAGAGGGUGAUCGGCCACACUGGGACUGAGACACGGCCCAGACUCCUACGGG
RNAcentral lists this ribosomal RNA (326 nucleotides) under uncultured Bacillus sp. RNAcentral's name for it is "bacterial SSU rRNA". The stretch from base 44 to 326 matches the Rfam family "Bacterial small subunit ribosomal RNA", at positions 55 to 345 of the family's 1533-position model. The record is from RNAcentral. Lineage: Bacteria; Bacillati; Bacillota; Bacilli; Caryophanales; Bacillaceae.